GCACUACGGUGCUGAAGCAACAAAUGCCCUGCUUCCAGGAAAAGCCUCUAAGCAUCAGGUAACAUCAAAUCGUACCCCAAACCGACACAGGUGGUCAGGUAGAGAAUACCAAGGCGCUUGAGAGAACUCGGGUGAAGGAACUAGGCAAAAUGGUGCCGUAACUUCGGGAGAAGGCACGCUGACACGUAGGUGAAGUGAUUUACUCAUGGAGCUGAAGUCAGUCGAAGAUACCAGCUGGCUGCAACUGUUUAUUAAAAACACAGCACUGUGCAAACACGAAAGUGGACGUAUACGGUGUGACGCCUGCCCGGUGCCGGAAGGUUAAUUGAUGGGGUCAGCGCAAGCGAAGCUCCUGAUCGAAGCCCCGGUAAACGGCGGCCGUAACUAUAACGGUCCUAAGGUAGCGAAAUUCCUUGUCGGGUAAGUUCCGACCUGCACGAAUGGCGUAAUGAUGGCCAGGCUGUCUCCACCCGAGACUCAGUGAAAUUGAACUCGCUGUGAAGAUGCAGUGUACCCGCGGCAAGACGGAAAGACCCCGUGAACCUUUACUAUAGCUUGACACUGAACAUUGAGCCUUGAUGUGUAGGAUAGGUGGGAGGCUUUGAAGUGUGGACGCCAGUCUGCAUGGAGCCGACCUUGAAAUACCACCCUUUAAUGUUUGAUGUUCUAACGUGGACCCGUUACCCGGGUUGCGGACAGUGUCUGGUGGGUAGUUUGACUGGGGCGGUCUCCUCCUAAAGAGUAACGGAGGAGCACGAAGGUUGGCUAAUCCUGGUCGGACAUCAGGAGGUUAGUGCAAUGGCAUAAGCCAGCUUGACUGCGAGCGUGACGGCGCGAGCAGGUGCGAAAGCAGGUCAUAGUGAUCCGGUGGUUCUGAAUGGAAGGGCCAUCGCUCAACGGAUAAAAGGUACUCCGGGGAUAACAGGCUGAUACCGCCCAAGAGUUCAUAUCGACGGCGGUGUUUGGCACCUCGAUGUCGGCUCAUCACAUCCUGGGGCUGAAGUAGGUCCCAAGGGUAUGGCUGUUCGCCAUUUAAAGUGGUACGCGAGCUGGGUUUAGAACGUCGUGAGACAGUUCGGUCCCUAUCUGCCGUGGGCGCUGGAGAACUGAGGGGGGCUGCUCCUAGUACGAGAGGACCGGAGUGGACGCAUCACUGGUGUUCGGGUUGUCAUGCCAAUGGCACUGCCCGGUAGCUAAAUGCGGAAGAGAUAAGUGCUGAAAGCAUCUAAGCACGAAACUUGCCCCGAGAUGAGUUCUCCCUGAGACUUUAGGUCUCCUGAAGGAACGUUGAAGACGACGACGUUGAUAGGCCGGGUGUGUAAGCGCAGCGAUGCGUUGAGCUAACCGGUACUAAUGAACCGUGAGGCUUAACCUUACAACGCCGAA
Molecule: ribosomal RNA, 1386 nt
Filed under: Salmonella enterica
Lineage: Bacteria; Pseudomonadati; Pseudomonadota; Gammaproteobacteria; Enterobacterales; Enterobacteriaceae
Description: partial 23S ribosomal RNA
Rfam family: Bacterial large subunit ribosomal RNA
Source: RNAcentral